RNAcentral lists this ribosomal RNA (229 nucleotides) under Staphylococcus warneri. RNAcentral describes it as "partial 23S ribosomal RNA". It matches the Rfam family "Bacterial large subunit ribosomal RNA", at positions 57 to 283 of the family's 2925-position model. The record is from RNAcentral. Lineage: Bacteria; Bacillati; Bacillota; Bacilli; Caryophanales; Staphylococcaceae.
CGUUACUAACGACGAUAUGCUUUGGGGAGCUGUAAGUAAGCGUUGAUCCAGAGAUUUCCGAAUGGGGAAACCCAGCAUGAGUUAUGUCAUGUUAUCGAUAUGUGAAUACAUAGCAUAUCAGUAGGCAGACCCGGAGAACUGAAACAUCUUAGUACCCGGAGGAAGAGAAAGAAAAAUCGAUUCCCUGAGUAGCGGCGAGCGAAACGGGAAGAGCCCAAACCAACAAGCU